GCUUAGAAGCAGCCACUCAUUUAAAGAGUGCGUAAUAGCUCACUGGUCGAGUGAUUGUGCGCCGAAAAUGUACCGGGGCUAAACUGUGUACCGAAGUCUAGGGAUCGUGAUAAACGAUCGGUAGGGGAGCAACGUGUGCGGGCUGAAGCCGAAGCGGAAGCGACGGUGGACUGCACGGGAGAGAGAAUGCCGGCAUGAGUAGCGAGAGCAAAGUGAGAAUCUUUGCCGUCGAAAGCCUAAGGUUUCCUGAGGAAGGCUCGUCCUCUCAGGGUAAGUCAGGACCUAAGCCGAGGACAAAAGUCGUAGGCGAUGGACAACUGGUUGAUAUUCCAGUACCACCUUUAGCGUUUGACUGAAGCAGUGACACAGAAGGAUAGACAGAGCGCGUGACUGGUAGAGCGCGUCCAAGCGAUGAGGGAGUUAAGUAGUGAAGCACGUUUAACAAUCCUGGGUCGUGAUGGGGACUGAAAAUAAGUAGGGAAGCUGUUGAAUUCACGCUGGCGAGAAAAGCUGCUAAGGAGCGAAAGGGUGCCUGUACCGCAAACCGACACAGGUAGGCGAGGAGAGAAUCCUAAGACGAGCGGGAGAACCCAUGUUAAGGAACUCGGCAAAAUGACCCUGUAACUUCGGGAUAAAGGGAGCCACGAGAGUGGCCGCAGAGAAUAGGCCCAAGCGACUGUUUACCAAAAACACAGGUCUGUGCGAAGUAGAGAUACGACGUAUACGGGCUGACGCCUGCCCAGUGCCGGAAGGUUAAGGGGAAGUGUUAGGGCAACCGAAGCACGGAACUUAAGCCCCGGUGAACGGCGGCCGUAACUAUAACGGUCCUAAGGUAGCGAAAUUCCUUGUCGGGUAAGUUCCGACCCGCACGAAUGGCGUAACGACUUGGGCACUGUCUCAACAUGGGACCCGGCGAAAUUGUAGUAUGUGUGAAGAUGCACAUUACCCGCGAUAGGACGGAAAGACCCCGUAGAGCUUUACUGUAGUUUAACAUUGGAUUUCGGUAACAUAUGUACAGGAUAGGUGGGAGGCGAAGAACCAGGGACGCCAGUUUCUGGGGAGCCGACCUUGGGAUACCACUCUUGUGUUAUUGGAGUUCUAACGAAUUGCCGUGACCCGGGAUUCGGACAGUGUUAGAUGGGCAGUUUGACUGGGGCGGUCGCCUCCCAAAGAGUAACGGAGGCGUCCAAAGGUUCCCUCAGAAUGGUUGGAAACCAUUCGCAGAGUGUAAAGGCAGAAGGGAGCUUGACUGCGAGACCGACAGGUCGAGCAGGUGCGAAAGCAGGGCUUAGUGAUCCGGCGGUAUGAGAGUGGAAUUGCCGUCGCUCAACGGAUAAAAGCUACC
RNAcentral lists this ribosomal RNA (1345 nucleotides) under human gut metagenome. RNAcentral describes it as "bacterial LSU rRNA". It matches the Rfam family "Bacterial large subunit ribosomal RNA", at positions 1104 to 2467 of the family's 2925-position model. The record is from RNAcentral.